CAGUAGCCACGGGAAUACGGAGGGAGCUAGCGUUGUUCGGAAUUACUGGGCGUAAAGCGCGCGUAGGCGGACUUUUAAGUCAGGGGUGAAAUCCCGGGGCUCAACCUCGGAACUGCCUUUGAUACUGGAAGUCUUGAGUAUGGAAGAGGUUAGUGGAAUUGCGAGUGUAGAGGUGAAAUUCGUAGAUAUUCGCAGGAACACCAGUGGCGAAGGCGGCUAACUGGUCCAUAACUGACGCUGAGGUGCGAAAGCGUGGGGAGCAAACAGGAUUAGAUACCCGAGUAGUCCCUGUCUCUUAUAC
This 301-nucleotide ribosomal RNA is filed under the name uncultured bacterium. RNAcentral's name for it is "partial 16S ribosomal RNA". It matches the Rfam family "Bacterial small subunit ribosomal RNA", at positions 509 to 807 of the family's 1533-position model. The record is from RNAcentral.